GGGCAUACCCGUAGACCUUGCUUGACUGUGCUCAUGGCCAGGCAGGGGGGACAGUGCAUGCAAGAGUAAUUGGGAGUUUGUGCUAGUUCUAGCCAGCCUAUUCGGUGGCUGGAUAAGUUGCAUUACUUCAACAUUU
Myotis lucifugus (little brown bat) is the source of this 136-nucleotide small nucleolar RNA. Ensembl annotates it as small nucleolar RNA SNORA58. NCBI's taxonomy places the organism in Eukaryota, Metazoa, Chordata, Mammalia, Chiroptera, Vespertilionidae. The record is from Ensembl.